RNAcentral lists this ribosomal RNA (483 nucleotides) under uncultured bacterium. RNAcentral describes it as "partial 16S ribosomal RNA". It matches the Rfam family "Bacterial small subunit ribosomal RNA", at positions 28 to 523 of the family's 1533-position model. The record is from RNAcentral.
GACGAACGCUGGCGGCGUGCUUAACACAUGCAAGUCGAACGAUGAAGCUGGAGCUUGCUCCGGUGGAUUAGUGGCGAACGGGUGAGUAACACGUGAGCAAUCUGCCCUUGACUCUGGAAUAACUGCGGGAAACUGUAGCUAAUACCGGAUACGAGGCUCGAAGGCAUCUUCGGGUCUGGAAAGAAUUUCGGUCAAGGAUGAGCUCGCGGCCUAUCAGCUUGUUGGUGAGGUAAUGGCUCAACAAGGCGACGACGGGUAGCCGGCCGGAGAGGGUGACCGGCCACACUGGGACUGAGACACGGCCCAGACUCCUACGGGAGGCAGCAGUGGGGAAUAUUGCACAAUGGGCGAAAGCCUGAUGCAGCAACGCCGCGUGAGGGAUGAAGGCCUUCGGGUUGUAAACCUCUUUUAGCAGGGAAGAAGCGAAAGUGACGGUACCUGCAGAAAAAGCACCGGCUAACUACGUGCCAGCCGCCGCAGUAA